GGAGGACAGCCAGGAUUGGAGAGGGCUACAGGCAGAGGGCAGCGAGGUGUCUUGAAAGUAGAAUGCGCGGUCCCAUCCAGUUAGGAAAGGAGGGUCCCCAAAGCCACUCUUGCUGUAGCCCUGUUUUGGACCCCCGCGAGAGAGGCAGGUGUAGUCAAGUGUACUUUGGAGUAAUCCUCCUUGGGCCAGGGACGCUGGGUGCUGGCUGGCUCGCUGGAGCGGGUGACCGCUAUCUUCCCGGCCACUCCUUCCUCCCCACCUCUCCCCUCCUGCUCGCGACCUUCGACCUCCAUCCUGGACCCACGGGGAACUGGGAGGAGACGCUUAAAGCCUCAGGUCCUGUCUGUGGACUCCGGGAUGUGGGUGCCGCCAGGAGCCCAGAAUUCGCGCACUGGGCGUUGCGAGUGUCACCGCCGGCUGCGGAGUAGGCAUGCCAGGCUCCUGAAACUCGUCCCCUUCACCAGUAAAUCUCUGGUGUCUGGUGUUGAGCAAAGCCAGCCUCGCAGGAAGCCACUCCGGAUGUUUGCUUCUUUACAUGUGGCAUUUGUGGCUGGCUCUGAUAACGUGGCCAGCUCAGCUUCCAACACCGCGUGUAGUUCAGAAACUGAAGUAUGAGUCCACACACUGAGCGGACGCAUCUGCGGCCCCGUCGCUCACAACGCGCCACCAAAAGUAACUGUCAGGAGAAUGGUCAGAAAUUAGAUCUAGAUCAGUAGCUUGUCUGCAAGAGCCCAGGAACAAGCGCAAAAACAAGGAGGCACGCAUGUUUUCUUCCCCACCCGGGCCUGGGCCUUCCCGGGUCCCAAGCGCACUUCUGGUGAAGGGCUGACCUUGCAAGAACACGAAGGUCGCAGAGGACUUGGCGCCAGAGCCCGGCUCCAGCCAGUUUUUCCCGGGGCAGGUGUAACCUAGGACGCAGGACUGGGGGAGGGGAAAGAGGCGGGCGUGGGGUUGAACUGGG
Long non-coding RNA from Jaculus jaculus (lesser Egyptian jerboa), 961 nucleotides. RefSeq lists it as uncharacterized. Lineage: Eukaryota; Metazoa; Chordata; Mammalia; Rodentia; Dipodidae. The transcript has 4 exons. The record is from RefSeq and is a predicted model, not a curated record.